RNAcentral lists this long non-coding RNA (313 nucleotides) under Carica papaya (papaya). RNAcentral describes it as "long non-coding RNA (CPAP_LNC012819)". The record is from RNAcentral. Lineage: Eukaryota; Viridiplantae; Streptophyta; Magnoliopsida; Brassicales; Caricaceae.
GGGAUCGACCAUGCUACCGCCUCAACAAUACCUGUCGCAUAUGUGGGUAGUGCCUAACACUAUGCGAGAAAGUGCCCGAGGAACCAGAACCAAGGAAGACCUCCUUUUCAGGGCAGGGUUUACAACCUUACCCAACAGGAUGUCGACGCUGACCUGGACGUGGUAUAGGGCAAGCCCAAGAAAGAAAUUUGUAUCCAAGAGAUUCCAGUAGUCCGAGACUUUCCAGAUGUAUUUUCGGACGAACUACCCGGACUGCUAGUGGAUAGAGAAGUCGAGUUCACUAUAGACUUACAGCCAGGCACCCAGCUUAUUU